Molecule: long non-coding RNA, 231 nt
Filed under: Cyanistes caeruleus (blue tit)
Lineage: Eukaryota; Metazoa; Chordata; Aves; Passeriformes; Paridae
Description: lncRNA (ENSCCEG00000015016.1)
Source: RNAcentral
AUCACCAUUGAGGAAAAUACAUCCAUUUUGAAGCAAGGCAUUGAAGCUGGCUGCCCAGACAAAUCUCAUGCUGACAGGCAAAUGCCUCAGGAGCUUUAAGUGGGUCAGGGAGAAGGUGACUGCAAAUGACUGUGCUUUCCAGUAUGUACAUUUCAACAGCCUGGAAGAUUUUAGGAUCAAUCAAUCAAUCAAUCAGCAUCCUUUUAAAGGAUUUAAUCAAAACUGCAAAAU